Sorex araneus (European shrew) is the source of this 132-nucleotide small nuclear RNA. Lineage: Eukaryota; Metazoa; Chordata; Mammalia; Eulipotyphla; Soricidae. The record is from Ensembl.
UGAAGGGGCUUUGGCCAUGAGUGCCACAAACGUUGGGCAGCUCACUUACUCUAUGUGUGGAAUCAACAUCAAGAGAUUUCGGAAGCAUUUUUGACUGCUGGGCAGCUGGUGAUGGUUGGUCCCAGAGCCCCU